RNAcentral lists this ribosomal RNA (253 nucleotides) under uncultured bacterium. RNAcentral's name for it is "partial 16S ribosomal RNA". It matches the Rfam family "Bacterial small subunit ribosomal RNA", at positions 524 to 776 of the family's 1533-position model. The record is from RNAcentral.
UACAGAGGGGGCAAGCGUUGUUCGGAAUUACUGGGCGUAAAGGGCGCGUAGGCGGCCUGUUAAGUCGAACGUGAAAUCCCCAGGCUCAACCUGGGAACUGCGUCCGAUACUGGCAGGCUUGAAUUCGGGAGAGGGAUGCGGAAUUCCAGGUGUAGCGGUGAAAUGCGUAGAUAUCUGGAGGAACACCGGUGGCGAAGGCGGCAUCCUGGACCGGCAUUGACGCUGAGGCGCGAAAGCCAGGGGAGCAAACGGG